AAAACUUUAAGAUCAGUCAAGAUCGGCUUAAAAUUAGGCUUGCGUAAAACAAAUUGACUUUUUCUGUUGACCGAACACUGAUUGGAUGAUGAAAUGAACUUACAAUAGAUAUGAGUGCGUAGGAUAGCUGGCAAUUUUAACUAAAUCUCAACCGUUCAUGAUUCAAUAGUCAUGCUUGUGCCACGUGGCAAUGGUUGGUGAAGCAAGUUUUAGGAUCCGAAUCUUUGUAGUCAGGUUGACCUGAUCCACCCAUUAACCCGCCAAAUCUCAACUGUUCUUUGGCCAAAUCGGACGAGUCAAACGAUGCCACGUGUGAUGUUGACUUUUGAAAUUUGACCAGCUGUUGGAUUGUGAUCUAAUGGUCGUGAGGAGCGCAUACAUGAAGCUUAUGAUGGACUGCAAAACACUAUAUUAUCAAUUUAUUUUUCUAUAAAUAGAGCCUCAUUUUUAUGUUUUUAAUCAUCUCUUUACAUCUCUCUUCUUCUCAAAUUCUCUCCAUCUCCCUGUAAUCUUGAUUUUCAGGUGUGUUUUUAAUAUUU
This 539-nucleotide long non-coding RNA is filed under the name Citrus x clementina. RNAcentral's name for it is "Citrus clementina (C. clementina) long non-coding RNA (CCLE_LNC000804)". The record is from RNAcentral. Lineage: Eukaryota; Viridiplantae; Streptophyta; Magnoliopsida; Sapindales; Rutaceae.